AUGCAUGUCUAAGUACAAGCCUAAGUAAGGUGAAACCGCGAAUGGCUCAUUAAAUCACACCUAAUCUACUGGAAUGUUAGCAGUUACUUGGAUAACUGAGGUAAUUCUUGAGCUAAUACAUGCGAAAAAUCUCGACGCAAGGAGAGAUGCUUUUAUUAGAUCAAAACCAAACGGUCUCGACCGUCUAUUUGGUGACUCGGAAUAACUUUGGGCUGAUCGCAUUGCCUUGUGCAGGCGACGUUUCCUUCGAAGGUGUGCCCUAUCAACUGUCGACUGUGAUAUAGACGCUCACAGUGGUUUUGACGGGUAACGGGGAAUCAGGGUUCGAUUCCGGAGAGGGAGCCUUAGAAACGGCUACCACA
This 362-nucleotide ribosomal RNA is filed under the name Temora stylifera. RNAcentral's name for it is "SSU rRNA". It matches the Rfam family "Eukaryotic small subunit ribosomal RNA", at positions 51 to 414 of the family's 1831-position model. Lineage: Eukaryota; Metazoa; Arthropoda; Copepoda; Calanoida; Temoridae. The record is from RNAcentral.